RNAcentral lists this ribosomal RNA (301 nucleotides) under uncultured bacterium. RNAcentral describes it as "partial 16S ribosomal RNA". It matches the Rfam family "Bacterial small subunit ribosomal RNA", at positions 509 to 807 of the family's 1533-position model. The record is from RNAcentral.
CAGUCGCCACGGGAAUACGAAGGGGGCUAGCGUUGCUCGGAAUCACUGGGCGUAAAGGGUGCGUAGGCGGGUUUUUAAGUCAGAGGUGAAAUCCUGGAGCUCAACUCCAGAACUGCCUUUGAUACUGAAAGUCUUGAGUAUGGGAGAGGUGAGUGGAACUGCGAGUGUAGAGGUGAAAUUCGUAGAUAUUCGCAAGAACACCAGUGGCGAAGGCGGCUCACUGGCCCGUAACUGACGCUGAGGCACGAAAGCGUGGGGAGCAAACAGGAUUAGAUACCCGUGUAGUCCCUGUCUCUUAUAC